This 233-nucleotide long non-coding RNA is filed under the name Elaeis guineensis (African oil palm). RNAcentral describes it as "long non-coding RNA (EGUI_LNC056260)". Lineage: Eukaryota; Viridiplantae; Streptophyta; Magnoliopsida; Arecales; Arecaceae. The record is from RNAcentral.
GUUGGAGCCGAUCAUCGCUACAUGCUCCGCGUUCCCGUCAUUCAAAGGGAUUGGUACUAGAUCUUCAAUUGGGGUGCCCCUCUCUUCGGUGAGGUCAUCGCGAGCAUCCAAUCCAUCAACGGGACAGGGGUCAGAUUGGUCGCUUCUUUGCAAGGCUAUGUUGUAGCAGUGCCUGGCCAGGGCUUGGUCUCCCCGGACCUCUCCGAUCCCCUGGUUGGUGGGGAGUUUCAACU